Molecule: non-coding RNA, 85 nt
Filed under: unclassified sequences
Description: c-di-GMP sequence
Rfam family: c-di-GMP-II-GAG riboswitch aptamer
Source: Rfam by way of RNAcentral
GGCAAAUAGGGAGGCGAAGAAGCCAGGCCUGCAAUACGGUCACCUCGGUCUGGCAGAGCUAGUGGUGAGACCGGACCUAUCCCAC